This 125-nucleotide small RNA is filed under the name Marmota monax (woodchuck). Lineage: Eukaryota; Metazoa; Chordata; Mammalia; Rodentia; Sciuridae. The record is from RNAcentral.
GCCGGGCGCGGUGGCGCACACCUGUCAUCCCAGCAGCUCAGGAGGCUGAGGCAGGAGGAUCAUGAGUUCAAAACCAGCCUCAGCAAAAGCGAGGUGCUAAGCAACUCAGCGAGACCCUGUCUCUA